This 45-nucleotide non-coding RNA is filed under the name Schistosoma curassoni. The record is from RNAcentral. Lineage: Eukaryota; Metazoa; Platyhelminthes; Trematoda; Strigeidida; Schistosomatidae.
AUCCAGAUGACUAGUUUCAAAUAGGACGAAAUGCGCGUCCUGGAU